GCUUGUCUCAAAGAUUAAGCCAUGCAUGUCUAAGUAUAAAUAUUUUACUUUGAAACUGCGAACGGCUCAUUAUAUCAGUUAUAGUUUAUUUGAUAGUCCCUUUCUACUCGGAUAACUGUAGAAAUUCUAGAGCUAAUACGUGCGUCAAGACCCUUCUGGGGUCGUAUUUAUUAGAUUGAAACCAACCCCUUCGGGGUGAUGUGGUGAUUCAUAAUAAGUUUGCGGAUCGCAUGCCUUUGGCGGCGACGGAUCAUUCAAGUUUCUGCCCUAUCAGCUUUGGAUGCAUAGGUAUUGUCUAUGCAUGGCUUUAACGGGUAACGGGAAAUUAGGGUUUGAUUCCGGAGAGGGAGCCUGAGAGAUGGCUACCACAUCCAAGGAAGGCAGCAGG
RNAcentral lists this ribosomal RNA (388 nucleotides) under uncultured diatom. RNAcentral describes it as "partial small subunit ribosomal RNA". It matches the Rfam family "Eukaryotic small subunit ribosomal RNA", at positions 30 to 432 of the family's 1831-position model. The record is from RNAcentral. Lineage: Eukaryota; Bacillariophyta.